UACGGAGGGUGCAAGCGUUAAUCGGAAUUACUGGGCGUAAAGGGUGCGUAGGUGGUUCGCUAAGUCCGUUGUGAAAGCCCUGGGCUCAACCCAGGAACUGCUUCGGAUACUGGCGCGCUUGAGGCUAGUAGGGGUCACUGGAACUGACGGUGGAGCGGUGAAAUGCGUAGAUAUCGUCAGGAACGCCAAUGGUGAAGACAGGUGACUGGGCUAGUUCUGACACUGAGGCACGAAAGCGUGGGGAGCGAACGGG
RNAcentral lists this ribosomal RNA (253 nucleotides) under uncultured bacterium. Its description in RNAcentral is "partial 16S ribosomal RNA". It matches the Rfam family "Bacterial small subunit ribosomal RNA", at positions 524 to 776 of the family's 1533-position model. The record is from RNAcentral.